GGGGAUGACACGGUUUCGACGAGAGGCUCGUGCGGCAGGCCGCGCGCCGGGUGGUGUCCGAUACGCCCGUGACACCCAUCGGAACGCAAUUGUAGCUGCGAACGACUACUCCUACUCGCUGGCCGCGUAAUACACGCCGCUAGCUGUUCUGUACACCGGACGCUCACUAUCGACGUACAGAGCACCGACUAGAGUGAGCUGGUCCCGAAGGCUCCGGCUGAGCCCGACGGACGAGAGCUAAUCAGCCUGCGCUCCACCGGAAGCCCGUCAGCGGGCCCUGCCAGCGGAGCAAAGACCUCAAAGCGCUGACUACGCGCGUAGACGCCUGGACUGUAGCGCCUUUCGGACCCGGGUUCGACUCCCGGCAUCUCCACAU
This 376-nucleotide transfer-messenger RNA is filed under the name Rubrivirga marina. RNAcentral's name for it is "Standard tmRNA". It matches the Rfam family "transfer-messenger RNA". Rfam says of the family: Bacterial tmRNA, also known as 10Sa RNA or SsrA, is named for its dual tRNA and mRNA-like properties. Its role is to liberate the mRNA from a stalled ribosome. To accomplish this part of the tmRNA is used as a reading frame that ends in a translation stop signal. Lineage: Bacteria; Pseudomonadati; Rhodothermota; Rhodothermia; Rhodothermales; Rubricoccaceae. The record is from Rfam by way of RNAcentral.